Molecule: ribosomal RNA, 404 nt
Filed under: uncultured bacterium
Lineage: Bacteria
Description: bacterial SSU rRNA
Rfam family: Bacterial small subunit ribosomal RNA
Source: RNAcentral
AACGAACGCUGGCGGCGCGCCUAAUACAUGCAAGUCGAGCGAGAAGACGUAGCAAUACGUUUGUAAAGCGGCGAACGGGUGAGGAAUACAUGGGUAACCUACCCUCGAGUGGGGAAUAACUAGCCGAAAGGUUAGCUAAUACCGCGUACGCUCCUUGGACUUCGGUUCAGGGAGGAAAGCGAUACCGUGGGUAUCGCGCUCUUGGAUGGGCUCAUGUCCUAUCAGCUUGUUGGUGAGGUAACGGCUCACCAAGGCUUCGACGGGUAGCUGGUCUGAGAGGACGAUCAGCCACACUGGCACUGCGACACGGGCCAGACUCCUACGGGAGCAGCAGUAAGGAAUAUUGCGCAAUGGGCGAAAGCCUGACGCAGCGACGCCGCGUGGGGGAUGAAGGUCUUCGGAUU